This 240-nucleotide unclassified non-coding RNA is filed under the name soil metagenome. Its description in RNAcentral is "partial contains 5.8S ribosomal RNA, internal transcribed spacer 2, and large subunit ribosomal RNA". The record is from RNAcentral.
AAGACUAUAGACCUGCGGAGUACCUGCGGAGGGAUCAUUACCGAGUGCGGGCCCUCUGGGUCCAACCUCCCACCCGUGUCUAUUGUACCUUGUUGCUUCGGCGGGCCCGCCAUUCUGGCCGCCGGGGGGCUUGCCCCCGGGCCCGCGCCCGCCGAAGACACCCUCGAACUCUGUCUGAAGAUUGUAGUCUGAGUGGAAUUAUAAAUUAUUAAAACUUUUAGCAACGGAUCUCUAGAUCGG